UACAGGGGGGGCGAGCGUUGUUCGGAAUUAUUGGGCGUAAAGAGCGUGUAGGCGGCUGGGUAGGUCCGUUGUGAAAACUCGAGGCUCAACCUCGAGACGCCGAUGGAAACCCCCCAGCUAGAGUCCGGAAGAGGAGAGUGGAAUUCCUGGUGUAGCGGUGAAAUGCGCAGAUAUCAGGAAGAACACCCGUGGCGAAGGCGGCUCUCUGGGACGGUACUGACGCUGAGACGCGAAAGCGUGGGGAGCGAACAGG
Molecule: ribosomal RNA, 253 nt
Filed under: uncultured bacterium
Lineage: Bacteria
Description: partial 16S ribosomal RNA
Rfam family: Bacterial small subunit ribosomal RNA
Source: RNAcentral